Rattus norvegicus (Norway rat) is the source of this 3484-nucleotide non-coding RNA. The record is from RefSeq and is a predicted model, not a curated record. NCBI's taxonomy places the organism in Eukaryota, Metazoa, Chordata, Mammalia, Rodentia, Muridae.
GAGACAGUGUCUUGUAUGGUCCAGACUGGACUGGGCUCUCCCUAUGUAGCGAAAGCUGUCCUUGAACUGCCAAUCUUCCUGUCUCAGUGAGAAGGAAAAAGAACCGAGGCAGCUGAAGAAAUGGUCCAGUUGGUAAAGCGCCCACUCUACAAGCGCGAGGCCCUGCGUUCAGAUCCUCGGCACUGAGAAAAAAAAGGAAGGAAAAGAAACACACAUGUUCUGGGGCUGGAGAAAUGCUUCAAUAGUAGGGUCCCUUGUGUGGGAUCCAAAUCCAGUUCCAUCACCUACAACUGCUUGUAACUGCGGCUCUGGGGAACCUGAUGCCCUCUUCUCUGCCCUCUUCUCGCCUUUGAGGGCAACUGCAUGCGUGUGCAGAGACACACGCAAACAUUUAAAACUUUUUUUAAAAUUUUUAUUUAUCUAAUGUAUAUUACAGAUGGUUGUGAGCCACCAUGUGGUUGCUGGGAUUUGAACUCAGAACCUCUGGAAGAGCAAUCAGUACUCUUAACCACUGAGCCAUCUCUCCAGAUCCCAGCACUCGGGAGACAGACGCUGGCUUACCUCUGAGUUCAAGGCUAGACUGGUCUACAUGACUUACCUGUAACCUGCCUUAGCUCUCUUGCCCCAGCUGGGAUGCAACUGGAUUGACAGCCCAGGGACUUGACAGCCUUCGUGCUGUUUUGGAGGCCCACGCUCCCAAAGUUCUUUCCUCGGGGUACCUUUCUGUUCCGUUGCCCUUUUCCUUUUUUUUUUUUUUUUUUUUUGGUUCUUUUUUUCCGGAGCUGGGGACCGAACCCAGGGCCUUGCGCUUCCUAGGUAAGCGCUCUACCACUGAGCUAAAUCCCCAACCCCCCCCCCCCCCCGUUGCCCUUUUCCAGAUCAAAAACUUCAGUGCGUGCCUCUACGGGUGGACCCUAGGUCUCAUGCCUAUGGUUUAGCUGCAAGGGUUUCUGGGAAAGUAAAUAAUCUGUCCUUUACUUUGGGGAAGUGGGAUUUACGACGUCAGAAAACCCCACACACAAGAAAGUUGAUCAAAGGGUUCUGGUUGCUCAUAAGAGGCAACAAAUGUCACCUAAACUGUGGCUUGGCUUACUCCUCCUCGAACACGGAAUGGCCUAAUUAUCGCAACAGAGUCUCAUAUAGGCCAGGCUGACCUCAAACCCACUUUGUAGCUAAGGAUGACCUUGAACUCUUCAUCCUCCUACGUCCUGCUGGAAUCAGAGCCCUGAGCCGCCACACCUGCCCUUCCUUCCGUGGCGCUGUGGGAAGGAGUUGAGGGUGUAUGGUGGGGCUGGAGAGACGGAUUAGCAGUUAAGAGCGCUUUCUGCUACCGCAAGGCAUCAGAGUUUAGCUCCUAGCACCCACAUGAGGUGCCUUAUAAACUCUACCUUUAACACCAGCUUUAGGGGAUCUGAUGCCCACACAGAGGAACCAAAAAAAUGUUAAUGUAAGCCAGCUAUGGUGGAGGUGCACACCUCUAGGCAGAGGCAAGUGGAUCUCUGUGGGUUUGAGAUCAGCCUGGGCUACAGAGCAAGUUCCAGGCCAGUCAAGGCCGUGUAGAAGUACCCUGCAUCAAACCAAGCCAAACAAAAACAAAACCUAAAAAACCCUAGCGACUAAAGAGGUGGGACAGUUGGAAAGCAAGCUCCCUGCUCCUGUGGAGGACCCCAGUUCAAUUCCCAGCCUCUCACAACUGUCGGUUACUCCAGCGCUCCUGGGAAUCUCUGACACACCUGAGACAGGCCUGCACUCACAUGUAUACAUCCAUACACACACCCUGGCCCAGACACUCACACGUAAACAUAAAUUAUAAGGUAGACGGACAAGGUUUUGAAAGAAUGAAGUAAAUAAGCAUCGACUGGUGACCACAGGCCACCUGUCUUCCCAGCCCCUCAAACCCGGGUCAGAUCUCGGUGUCAUGCACAUUUUCCAUCACAGCCCAAUUCCAUUCUGUUGAUUAUCUGAUGAAUGUCUGCCUUCCCUGGCCUACGGGGAGCUCACACUGCUGUCCUAGACCUAGGAAGACCGACAAGGCUCAGCCACACCAGGUCAGGGCCCGGCUGCAGGGCAGAAAGGGGCUGAGACCCAUCACAAAGACAGUCUGCAGCCUCCUGCCUCCCAGUCCCCAGAGAGGAGCAGCUGAUGGGUUUCUGGAGCUCUCCAAUCCAAUUAUUGCCCCCUCCUCUCUGGUGGAGGCCGAGCUGCCACGCCCUUCCCCGAGGUGGAGACUGGUGGGAAGGGAGAGGGCGAUGCUGAAUUCUGCACAUCGUGACCCAGCACCUCCUGGCAGCAGGCUGGCUCACCGUUACCCCGAGGCUGCUAUGACAGCGCCCGUUUCCAGGCGACUGUUCUCGGGGAAUGGUCUGUUUUGGCAACCAGAGGGCCCCUGGGUAAAGGGGCCUCCGUAGGCCGUACCAUUUGCAUAGCAACCUCCUCCCUCCCACGAGCAACUCUGCGACAUGCGACAGCCGGGGCGCCCGCCCCUGUCCUCGGCCUGGCCCGCCCCGCGGCUCAGCUCCCGCAGCCCUGUCACAGCCUGCGUCCUCUGGGAGCAGCGGCUACCCGCCCAGCCAGUGUAUUUCCGGAGAGGCUUGGUACCCUGGAGACCAGGGGAAGUGAUGCUGGGGGGCGGGGGGGGGCACAAAACACAAAUGGGGGAGGGGCGAUGAACUAUAAUCUUUCAAACCAGAGUCUGGGGAGCUGGCCUAUCUAAUUUGAAGAAACUGAAAGAGAAUCCUUGGAACCCUCGCUCCUUCGGGUGCACACCCACCCCAUUCCAGCAGACGCACACACGCCCCGCCCGAACAAGUCCACGAUGCCAGGCUGGACCUUCAGAGCACAGGAACCGCCCAAGGACACUUGCCUUGACUGGAACCCAAGCGGAGGCUGGGCAGAGGCAGGUCACCCCAGCUGAGUGAUCACAUUACCCUGGCAGCUGUCCAAGGGGCAGUUCCCAGCUGCACCUGUUUGUAGGACGACCGCUUUUAUCAGUAUUGACACAGCAGCGGGUCUGGGAACAGCAUUGCAAUAAAUAAAUGGAGGGGGGUGCAGGCGGGACAGGGGCAGAGCCACUGAGGCCAGCAGAAAGGGAUGAGGUCUUUUGCUGAUUGUCAGCACUUUCAGUUCAAAUACCACCACCACCCCCUCUCCCUCCCUGGAACCUCUAAAGAUCCUGCAGGCUGACUUGUGCCUAAGAGCCCUGGGUCUUAAAGAGAUAGAAUUGCAGAAUCACCUUAGGCUCUCUUCACGUCUAGCUCAACGAUUAAGAGCAGCGGCUGCUUCUGCAGACAACUUAGGCUCUGUCUGCAGCACCUGUAGGGGCGGCUUGCAACCACCUACGUGUGACUCCAGUUCCAGGGGAUCUAAUGUCUUCUUCUGAUCUCAGAAUGAAACAGGAACCCACAUGGCACACGGAUAUCCAUGCGGGGGGGGGGGGGGAACACUGAUAAAUAUAAGAUAAAAAUAAACCUUAAAACAACAAGAA